RNAcentral lists this non-coding RNA (219 nucleotides) under Eubacterium sp. RNAcentral's name for it is "T-box sequence". It matches the Rfam family "T-box leader". From Rfam's summary of the family: Uncharged tRNA acts as the effector for transcription antitermination of genes in the T-box leader family. T-boxes are found upstream of many aminoacyl-tRNA synthetase genes and some amino acid biosynthetic genes usually in Gram-positive bacteria. Lineage: Bacteria; Bacillati; Bacillota; Clostridia; Eubacteriales; Eubacteriaceae. The record is from RNAcentral.
UCAAAAGCGUUGACGGGAAAGCAGUAGUCCCGGAGUGUUCCUUUCAGAGAGCCGCUGUGUGGUGCGAAGCGGCAGGAAUUCCGCGAUGAAAUACCUCCCUGAGCGGCGGUGCGAAAGCGCAUUUGCGUGUGUAGUCCUGCACGGGUAAGCCCGUUAUAGCUGCCACAAGGCGGGAAUUUCCCGCGAACUGAGGUGGUACCGCGAUAAUUCGCCCUCUUU